Molecule: ribosomal RNA, 997 nt
Filed under: Lactiplantibacillus plantarum
Lineage: Bacteria; Bacillati; Bacillota; Bacilli; Lactobacillales; Lactobacillaceae
Description: bacterial SSU rRNA
Rfam family: Bacterial small subunit ribosomal RNA
Source: RNAcentral
GGUGCUUGCAUCAUGAUUUACAUUUGAGUGAGUGGCGAACUGGUGAGUAACACGUGGGAAACCUGCCCAGAAGCGGGGGAUAACACCUGGAAACAGAUGCUAAUACCGCAUAACAACUUGGACCGCAUGGUCCGAGCUUGAAAGAUGGCUUCGGCUAUCACUUUUGGAUGGUCCCGCGGCGUAUUAGCUAGAUGGUGGGGUAACGGCUCACCAUGGCAAUGAUACGUAGCCGACCUGAGAGGGUAAUCGGCCACAUUGGGACUGAGACACGGCCCAAACUCCUACGGGAGGCAGCAGUAGGGAAUCUUCCACAAUGGACGAAAGUCUGAUGGAGCAACGCCGCGUGAGUGAAGAAGGGUUUCGGCUCGUAAAACUCUGUUGUUAAAGAAGAACAUAUCUGAGAGUAACUGUUCAGGUAUUGACGGUAUUUAACCAGAAAGCCACGGCUAACUACGUGCCAGCAGCCGCGGUAAUACGUAGGUGGCAAGCGUUGUCCGGAUUUAUUGGGCGUAAAGCGAGCGCAGGCGGUUUUUUAAGUCUGAUGUGAAAGCCUUCGGCUCAACCGAAGAAGUGCAUCGGAAACUGGGAGACUUGAGUGCAGAAGAGGACAGUGGAACUCCAUGUGUAGCGGUGAAAUGCGUAGAUAUAUGGAAGAACACCAGUGGCGAAGGCGGCUGUCUGGUCUGUAACUGACGCUGAGGCUCGAAAGUAUGGGUAGCAAACAGGAUUAGAUACCCUGGUAGUCCAUACCGUAAACGAUGAAUGCUAAGUGUUGGAGGGUUUCCGCCCUUCAGUGCUGCAGCUAACGCAUUAAGCAUUCCGCCUGGGGAGUACGGCCGCAAGGCUGAAACUCAAAGGAAUUGACGGGGGCCCGCACAAGCGGUGGAGCAUGUGGUUUAAUUCGAAGCUACGCGAAGAACCUUACCAGGUCUUGACAUACUAUGCAAAUCUAAGAGAUUAGACGUUCCCUUCGGGGACAUGGAUACAGGUGGUGCAU